Molecule: transfer RNA, 72 nt
Filed under: Coniophora puteana
Lineage: Eukaryota; Fungi; Basidiomycota; Agaricomycetes; Boletales; Coniophoraceae
Description: tRNA-Met
Source: RNAcentral
AUCCAGUUGAGGUAAUUGGUAUCCGGUAUACUUCAUCACUAUACUAUACAGGUUCGACUCCUGUGCUGGAUU